Non-coding RNA from Oncorhynchus kisutch (coho salmon), 5823 nucleotides. NCBI's taxonomy places the organism in Eukaryota, Metazoa, Chordata, Actinopteri, Salmoniformes, Salmonidae. The record is from RefSeq and is a predicted model, not a curated record.
CCGAGUGGCAGCAUUAUUUUAGUUCUGUGGCCGCUGCUCGUCCUGUCCCCUCCACUCCCAUUGCUGUUCUGCCUGGUUUAGGACUUGCUUUGGAUACUUUUGGAGUUGCACCCCCUGUCCUGUUGGUUUCAACGAUUGAAAGAUUUUCAGUUUUGCGUGUGGCGGGGAGCCUGGAGUCUGAACUUAUCAGCCAGCCAGUCAGGAUGUCUGCAUCGUUCCACGUGAAACAGCACCACCACCACCACAGUGACAAGAAGCAGCAGCAUGAGAGCAUCAGCCAUCACAGCUCUCGCUCCUCUUUUAGUCAGCUGUCAUAUGCUGCCCACAAGAGAAUCCAGCACAGCACCAUAGGAGUGCAGCAGAGUUUUGUCGAAUCAGAGAAGAGGUCGGAGUUCAUACCUAGCCAGCUGCUGCCGCCGAGAGUCAAGAAGUACCUGGCCAUGGACCCUGACACCAACGAUGUCAUUGGAUACAUAGUUCCUGUCUUCAGGACCAGCCAUGAGUUUGCCCGGGGCCUAGUUGAGGUCCAGGAAGAAGUGAAGGAGGAGGGGGUGGGGCAUGUUGCCAUGAGGAACCUGUUCUCCCUGGAGACCAGCUCCAUGGAGACGAUUACCGUGGAGAAGAAGAGCAGGAAGAGGCACAUUAGAGAGUCAGCUGACCGCCUGGAGCUCAGCAAGAAGGUUGAGGAGAGAGCAGAGUUCCGUAAGAAGCAGAACAGUGACAACCUGACCCAUCCUCCUGAGUUCAUAGUUCGUCCCCGAGGACAGACAGUCUGGGAGGGCAAGACUGUCAAGCUGCACUGCACCGUGUCUGGAUGGCCUAAACCACGUAUUGCAUGGUAUAAGAACAAUGUGGUGAUAGAUGAGAAGGCCCAUCCUGACAAGUACACAGCAGAGAGUAAUUACAACAUGCACUCUCUGGAAAUCAAGAGCUGUGACUUCCUGGACACGGCUCAGUACCGUGUGUCUGCUCUCAACAUAAAGGGAGAGAGCUCCUCCGUGGCCACCGUGGUUAUCAAGAGGUUCCAGGAGGGACAGAAAGUGGGAACUCUUGAUGCUAAACCACAUGGGUUCUGCUCGGAGCACGGCGUGACCUUUGAGACAGCCAUCAUAGACUCGUUUGAGGUGGCAUUCGGCCGGGAGGGAGAGACUCUAAGUCUGGGCUGCACCGUCAUCGUCUAUCCCACCGUUAAACGCUACCAGCCUGAUGUCCUCUGGUACAGAGAUGGCAAGGCCCUAGCAGAGUCCAAGUGGGUCCACACCCACUGGAGUGGAGAGAAAGCCACCCUGACACUGGUCCAUCUUAACAAGGAGGAUGAAGGACUCUACACCCUGAGAGUUAACACCAAGUCUGGCUUCCAGUCCUACUCCGCUUACGUCUUCGUCAGAGAUGAAGAGGUGGAGUUGGAAGGUGUUCCCGUUGCGCCCCUGGACGUAUGUUGCCAUGACGCCAACAAGGACUACGUUGUGGUGACAUGGAAACAGCCGGCGGUGGAGGGAAGCAGCUCCAUCUUGGGGUACUUCAUUGAUAGGUGUGAGGUGGGCCACCACCACUGGGCUCAGUGUAACGACACCCCUGUGAAGUACGCCCGUUUCCCGGUAACGGGGCUGAUUGAGGGGAGGAGCUAUACCUUCCGAGUCAGAGCCAUCAACCGGGCUGGGGUCAGCCGACCUUCUAGAGCCUCUGAUCCCGUUAUCGCCAUAGACCCCCACGACAGGGCUCGCCAUCGAGCUGGUCCCUCUGCUCCCUUCACCGGAAUGAUCAAGUUCACUGAGGAAGACGCUACAGUGGGCGUGGUACCAGGUGAGCCCACCGACCUGGUGGUUACCGAGGCAACGAAGAACUACGUGGUUCUGGCCUGGUCUCCGCCCGCUCAAAGAGGUCAUGAAGGGGUUGUGUACCUUGUAGAGAAGUGUGUUGCUGGUAGUGAGUGCUGGCAGAGGGCCAACACAGGGAUGCCCGUCAAGUCUCCUCGCUUCGCGCUGUUUGAUCUGGCAGAGGGGAAGAGCUACAGCUUCAGAGUCCGCUGCUGUAACUCUGCUGGGAUGUCUGAGGCCUCCUCUGCUACUGGAGAUAUCACUGUAGGAGACAUGCUGGACCUGCCUGCGGCCCCCGGCCCAGCCGUAGCCACUAGGAACACAGAUACAUCAGUCGUUGUUUCCUGGGGGGCGUCUAAGGAUGUAAAACACCUGGUGGGAUAUUACAUCAACUAUACUGUGGCGGGCAGUGAUGUCUGGACACCCGCAAACAACAAGCCUGUUAAAGGAACCAGGUUUGUGUGCCACGGUCUGAACACAGGAGAGUCGUGUGUGUUCCGUGUGAAGGCGGUGAACGCAGCAGGGUACAGUCACAGCUCUUUGGAGUCGGAGGCCGUGGUCGUCAAGGCUGGCAUCGCCAUCCCUGAUGUCCCUAGUGGAGUCCACCUGAUGGAGGCAGCUCGUGACUACAUGGUGUUAGCCUGGAGGGAGCCGGCGGUGACCGGGGGAGCUGACAUCAGAGGAUACUUUGUGGACUACAGGACAGUAAAGGGUGGAGUUGGAGGACCAGUGGCAUGAACUCAACCCCAAGGCUGUCACCUGUACUUCCUAUAAGGCAGAGAACCUGAAGGAGAACUUGUUCUACCAGUUCCAAGUGCGAGCCAUCAACAUGGCCGGGGUCAGCGAGGCCUCUCUGCCCAGCGCAGCUCUAGAGUGUAAAGAAUGGACCAUUGCUAAACCAGGUGCUCCUCAUGAUCUCCAUGUGUUAGAGGUGCGUGACAGUUCCCUGGUGUUGCUGUGGGAACCUCCUACCUUCGAUGGCCGUACUCCUGUCAACGGCUUCUAUGUGGACAUCAAGGAGGCCGUGGCAGGGGAGGACUGGAAGGGAGUACAUGAGAAGGCCACCAAGCUGAAGUACAUGAAGGUCAAUGGUCUGAUUGCAGGCAGGUCCUAUGUGUUCAGGGUGCGUGCUCAGAACCUGGCUGGAGUGGGAAAGACUUCUGCUGUGUUAGGACCUGUUCUGGCUCUAACCAUGCCUGGUACACAUGAGAUAAUACUGGAUGUGGAUGAUGAUGGUGUGAUCUCCAUGAUCUUUGAGUGUUCUGAGAUGGCCGAGGGGUCAGAGUUCAUCUGGUCUAAGAACUACAAGACUCUGACAGACACCUCCAGACUCACCAUCGUCACAGAGGGGGGCAAGUCCAGAGCAAUCUUUAAUGCUCCCAGUCUGGAGGACCUUGGUAUCUUCUCCUGUGAGGUUACCAACACUGUUGGAGUCUCAGCCAGCUACACUCUAACGGAGGCUGGUCUGAAGCGUCUCCUGGACAUCAGCCACGAGCACAAGUUCCCCAUCAUUCCCUUCAAGACUCAGAUGGCCAUGGAGCUCCUGGAGAAGGGUCGUGUGAGGUUCUGGACCCAGGUUGAGAAGUUCACCACUGGCUGCCAUGUGGACUAUGUCUUUAACGAUGCGAUCGUAGAGAACGGAGAGAAAUACCAAAUGAACUUUGACAAGAACUCAGGCAUCAUUGAGAUGUUCAUGGACUCUCUCGCGGUCACAGACGAGGGAACAUUCACCUUUAACCUCGUGGACGGGAAGGCCAAGGGGUCCACCAGCCUGGUGCUGAUUGGAGAAGAGUUCAGAGAGCUCCAGAAAAAGUCUGAGUUUGAACAUGCUGAAUGGAUCAGAAGACAAGGUCCUCACUUCGUGGACUAUCUUGGUUUCCAGGUCACCCCAGAAUGCAACGUGCUGCUGAAGGCCACGAUAGGAAACAUCAGGCCAGAGACAGAGAUCAGAUGGUACAAAGACGGACUGGAGAUUGAAGAGGAUGAUGCUGAUUACAAGAAGAUCGAGAUGAAGGACGAGGUGUUGAUCUUCAACAUCGGAAAGUUGUCCAAAAAGGAUGCAGGUGUGUACGAGGUGAAGCUAAAGGAUGCCAGAGGAAAAGACAAGAGCAUGUUCAACCUGACUGAAGCAGGUUACCAAACUGUGCUAAACGAACUGUUCAGGGUGAUUGCCAACUCAUCAACUGAGAUCAGUGUGAAGAGUACAGAACAUGGUAUCGUCCUCUACUCCUUGAUCACCUAUCACAUGGAGGACCUCCAAGUUGGCUGGCUGCACAAGGAAGCAAAGAUCGCCCACUCUGACAGAGUUCAGUGUGGAGUGACCGGGGAGCAGCUGUGGCUCAAGGUGAAUGAGCCCACAGAGAAAGAUAAGGGCAAAUACACAAUAAAUAUCUGUGACGGCAAGGACGGGGUUAAGAGGUUCUGUGACCUGUCUGGACAAGCCUGGGAGGAAGCCUUCGUAGAGUUCCAGAGGCUGAAGGCUGCUGCCAUUGCAGAGAGAAACCGUGCCCGGGUUGUGGGAGGUCUGCCAGAUGUGGUCACUAUCCAGGAGGGCAAGUCUCUGAACCUGACAGGCAACGUGUGGGGUGACCCGGCACCCGAGGUCACCUGGAUGAAGAACGACAGAGAGCUGGUGUCUGACGAACGCUACGCCCUCAAGUUUGAACAUGGCAAGUUCGCCAGCAUCACCAUCGCGGCGGUAACCACGACCGACUCAGGGAAGUACGCACUCCUGGUGAAGAACAAGUAUGGAACUGAGGCAGGAGAGUUCACUGUGUCCGUCUACAUCCCAGAGGAAGAGAAGAAGAAAGAGUAGAUGGGUUGGAGGGAUGGAGUUGGAAUGGGAGGAAUAGUUAUAAUAGGCUGAAGGAUGACAGGGCGAUCUCCAAAGCUCUUUACCCCAGUGCAUGAUGGUAAACAGAGAACAGGAGAUAAAGAUUUGUUGCGGAGAGGUCUUGGUGUGUAUUCUUCCAGUGCACCAUGUCUAUACUGAUGUGUUGAAUCUAAAUGAUGAACCUGGAAAGAAUCAUGGAUUGCUCUCCAUCUGUCUCUGUCAGCACUGGGUUAAACAGCUGGGAGUUUCACCCUUCAGAAGGAUAAUAGUGUCAUACUCUACUGUUGUUGUUGCUUGGUUUGUCGUCUGUGUUUGUAGAUGUAAGGAUGUUUGGUCCAACCAGGAGAUGGUUGACUUCUCUGUCUGCUGCUUUCAGCUGUUACUUUCUUACCUGCUACAACAUUACUGUGGGUUAAACUUUAGAAAUACAUUGUACUAAAAUUUGAACUCUGACUGGAACUUGCCAAAAUGUAGAAGUGUUAGACAACCACAACAUAUUACAGCAGAGGUCAGAGGUUAGAGAUCAGAGGAGACUGGAGGGUUGAGGAAGUAAAGGCCCAGCAGGCAGUAUGUGUAGGCAUCCCAAAUGGCCCCCUAUACCCCAAGGGCCCUGGUCAAGUAGUGCACUGUAUAGGGGACGCCUUCUCAUUGUGUUUCUGUAUAGCCCUGUGUCUUUAGUGUGUUUAUGUGAGCCGAGCCUGAAACUGGUUCUGUCUGUCUGACACACAGCAUCAGGCCUGGACACAUAACACACUGACGCGUGCGCACACACACACACACACACACACACACACACACACACACACACACACACACACACACACACACACACACACACACACACACACACACACACACACACACACACACACACACACACACACACAAAAGCUUACUUCUGGGGGCAUUUACUCCCAGUUUGUCCAUAGAAUCAGAUUUGUAUAGGCUGACAUGACACUACAUUGUGUUCUGACAUGACACUAUACAAUAUGCAUUGUGUUCUGACAUGACACUGAAGGAAGGCAAAGUAGGAAGCUAAAGGUGACAGAAUGAUGUCAAAGAUCGCUGUGAGAGCUACCUUAUAAAAGGUGUUUUGUGUUCAUUGAAAAUAAUAACCUACUGUCCUCCUCAUGACCCUUGUCCCUGUGUUAAUAAAGGAUCUUACUCACUGUC